CCUACGGGAGGCAGCAGUGGGGAAUAUUGCGCAAUGGGCGAAAGCCUGACGCAGCGACGCCGCGUGAGGGAUGAAGGUCUUCGGAUCGUAAACCUCUGUCAGCAGGGAAGAACGGUCACUGUGCUAAUCAGCAGUGAAUUGACGGUACCUGCAAAGGAAGCACCGGCUAACUCCGUGCCAGCAGCCGCGGUAAUACGGAGGGUGCGAGCGUUAAUCGGAAUUACUGGGAGUAAAGCGCUCGUAGGCGGUAGUUCAAGUCAAGGGUGAAAUCCCCGCGCUCAACGUGGGAACUGCCUUUGAAACUGGCGAACUUGAGUGUGUGAGAGGAUAGUGGAAUGCCAGGUGUAGGAGUGAAAGCCAUAGAUAUCUGGAGGAACCUCAGUGGCGAAGGCGACUAUCUGGCACAUUACUGACGCUGAGGAGCGAAAGCGUGGGGAGCAAACAGGAUUAGAUACCCGAGUAGUC
This 465-nucleotide ribosomal RNA is filed under the name uncultured bacterium. RNAcentral describes it as "partial 16S ribosomal RNA". It matches the Rfam family "Bacterial small subunit ribosomal RNA", at positions 338 to 795 of the family's 1533-position model. The record is from RNAcentral.